CGGGACGGGUGAGUAAUGUCUGGGAAACUGCCUGAUGGAGGGGGGUAACUACUGGAAACGGUAGCUAAUACCGCAUAACGUCGCAAGACCAAAAGAAGGGGGGACCGUUCGGGCCUCUUGCCAUCGGAUGUGCCCAGAUGGGAUUAGCUAGUAGGUGGGGUAACGGCUCACCUAGGCGACGAUCCCUAGCUGGUCUGAGAGGAUGACCAGCCACACUGGAACUGAGACACGGUCCAG
Molecule: ribosomal RNA, 237 nt
Filed under: uncultured bacterium
Lineage: Bacteria
Description: partial 16S ribosomal RNA
Rfam family: Bacterial small subunit ribosomal RNA
Source: RNAcentral